RNAcentral lists this ribosomal RNA (366 nucleotides) under uncultured bacterium. Its description in RNAcentral is "bacterial SSU rRNA". It matches the Rfam family "Bacterial small subunit ribosomal RNA", at positions 29 to 424 of the family's 1533-position model. The record is from RNAcentral.
AACGAACGCUGGCGGCAGGCCUAACACAUGCAAGUCGAACGCGUGUAGCAAUACACGAGUGGCGCACGGGUGAGUAACACGUGGGAAUCAACCCUGAGGUUCGGAAUAACCGCGGGAAACUGCGGCUAAUACCGGAUGUCCCCUAUGGGGAAGAUUAUCGCCUUGGGACGAGCCCGCGUCCGAUUAGCUAGUUGGUGAGGUAAUGGCUCACCAAGGCUACGAUCGGUAGCUGGUCNGAGAGGAUGACCAGCCACACUGGAACUGAGAUACGGUCCAGACUCCUACGGGAGGCAGCAGUGGGGAAUAUUGGGCAAUGGAGGCAACUCUGACCCAGCCAUGCCGCGUGGGUGACGAAGGUCUUCGAUU